This 56-nucleotide transfer RNA is filed under the name Desulfovibrionaceae bacterium. RNAcentral describes it as "tRNA-Ser". It matches the Rfam family "tRNA", at positions 20 to 71 of the family's 71-position model. Rfam says of the family: Transfer RNA (tRNA) molecules are approximately 80 nucleotides in length. Their secondary structure includes four short double-helical elements and three loops (D, anti-codon, and T loops). The record is from RNAcentral. Lineage: Bacteria; Pseudomonadati; Thermodesulfobacteriota; Desulfovibrionia; Desulfovibrionales; Desulfovibrionaceae.
AUAACGCCGGCCUGUCACGCCGGAGGCCGAGGGUUCGAGUCCCUUCCGCUCCGCCA